RNAcentral lists this ribosomal RNA (1726 nucleotides) under Bucimex chilensis. Its description in RNAcentral is "SSU rRNA". It matches the Rfam family "Eukaryotic small subunit ribosomal RNA". The record is from RNAcentral. Lineage: Eukaryota; Metazoa; Arthropoda; Insecta; Hemiptera; Cimicidae.
CGUGCAGUCUCAGUNCAGACUGUAUUAAAGUGAAACCGCANAAGGCUCAGUAAACCAGUUUUAAUUUACUAGAGUAAACUUGACUGUGCUUGGAUAACUGUGGUAAUUCUAGAGCUAAUACAUGCAACCAAGCCCUGACCAUCCGUGGCCAGGGCGCUUUUAUUAGAUCAAGACCAUUCGCCCGGCUCGUCCGGGCGUCUCUUUGAUGAACCUAAAUAACACAUCAGAUCGCAUGGUCUUUGUACCGGCGACUUAUCUUUCAAAUGCCUGACUUAUCAACUGACGAUGGUAGACUCUGUGUCUACCAUGGCUCUUACGGGUAACGGGGAAUCAGGGUUCGAUUCCGGAGAGGGAGCCUGAGAAACGGCUACCACAUCCAAGGAAGGCAGCAGGCACGCAAAUUACCCACUCCCGGCACGGGGAGGUAGUGACAAAAAAUAACGAUACGGGACUCGAUAUGAGGCCUCGUAAUCGGAAUGAGUACACUUUAAAUCCUUUAACAAGGAUCCAUUGGAGGGCAAGUCUGGUGCCAGCAGCCGCGGUAAUUCCAGCUCCAAUAGCGUAUAUUAAAGUUGUUGCGGUUAAAAAGCUCGUAGUUGGUUCUGCGUCCCACGCUGUCGGUACACCGUUUGUCGGUGACACUGGCAUGACGCGGGAUGUCCUGUCGGUGGCGGCCCAAAUCUCAGUGUCGUCGGGCCUACUCCGCGACGCUUCAGCUUUCGGCUGCCUGAUCCUAUCCUACCGCGGUGCUCUUCACUGAGUGUCGAGGUAGGCCGACACGUUUACUUUGAACAAAUUAGAGUGCUUAAAGCAGGCCAAAAUCUCUGCCAGAAUAGUGGUGCAUGGAAUAAUGGAACAGGCCCUUGGUUCUAUUCUGUUGGUCUCCGGAACACAAGGUAAUGAUCAAUGUGGACAGGCGGGGGCAUUCGUAUUGCGGCGUUAGAGGUGAAAUUCUUGGAUCGUCGCAAGACGCACUAGAGCGAAAGCAUUUGCCAAGUAUGUCUUGAGCUUUCCCCGGGAAACCAAAGCUUUUGGGUUCCGGGGGAAGUAUGGUUGCAAAGCUGAAACUUAAAGGAAUUGACGGAAGGGCACCACCAGAAGUGGAGCCUGCGGCUUAAUUUGACUCAACACGGGAAACUUCACCAGGUCAGGACAUUGGAAUGAUUGACAGAUUGAUAGCUCUUUCUUGAUUCAGUGGGUAGUGGUGCAUGGCCGUUCUUAGUUGGUGGAUCGAUUUGUCUGGUUAAUUCCGAUAACGAACGAGACUCUAGCCUAUUAACUAGACGUGUUUGGUAUCGAAGCUACCGGCGAACUAUGUUCUUCUUAAGGGGACAGGCGGCUUUUAGCCGCACGAGAUUGAGCAAUAACAGGUCUGUGAUGCCCUUAGAUGUCCUGGGCCGCACGCGCGCUACACUGAAGGAAUCAGCGUGUGCGUUCCCUUGGCCGAAAGGUCCGGGUAACCCGCUGAAACUCCUUCGUGCUAGGAAUUGGGGCUUGCAAUUGUUCCCCAUGAACGAGGAAUUCCCAGUAAACGCGAGUCAUAAGCUCGCGUUGAUUAAGUCCCUGCCCUUUGUACACACCGCCCGUCGCUACUACCGAUUGAAUGAUUUAGUGAGGUCUUCGGACUGGCGGUAAGCCCAACCGACUUGUCGGUUUUGUCGAACGCUGGAAAGAUGACCAAACUUGAUCAUUUAGAGGAAGUAAAAGUCGUAACAAGGUUUCCGUA